CCUACGGGAGGCAGCAGUGGGGAAUAUUGCACAAUGGGCGCAAGCCUGAUGCAGCGACGCCGCGUGAGGGAUGACGGCCUUCGGGUUGUAAACCUCUUUCAGUAGGGAAGAAGCGAAAGUGACGGUACCUGCAGAAGAAGCGCCGGCUAACUACGUGCCAGCAGCCGCGGUAAUACGUAGGGCGCAAGCGUUAUCCGGAAUUAUUGGGCGUAAAGAGCUCGUAGGCGGUUUGUCGCGUCUGCCGUGAAGUACCGGGGCGUCAACUCCGGAUCUGCGGUGGGUACGGGCAGACUAGAGUGAUGUAGGGGAGACUGGAAUUCCUGGUGUAGCGGUGAAAUGCGCAGAUAUCAGGAGGAACACCGAUGGCGAAGGCAGGUCUCUGGGCAUUAACUGACGCUGAGGAGCGAAAGCAUGGGGAGCGAACAGGAUUAGAUACCCUGGUAGUCCAUGCCGUAAACGUUGGGCACUAGAUGUGGGGGACCAUUCCACGUUUUCCGCGCCGUAGCUAACGCAUUAAGUGCCCGCCGUGGGAGUCGCGCAAGGUCUAAACUCGAAGAAUUGACGGCGNGNGNGNGCGACGACGACGACGAGGAGGAGG
This 598-nucleotide ribosomal RNA is filed under the name uncultured bacterium. Its description in RNAcentral is "bacterial SSU rRNA". The stretch from base 1 to 526 matches the Rfam family "Bacterial small subunit ribosomal RNA", at positions 338 to 873 of the family's 1533-position model. The record is from RNAcentral.